This 492-nucleotide ribosomal RNA is filed under the name uncultured bacterium. RNAcentral's name for it is "partial 16S ribosomal RNA". It matches the Rfam family "Bacterial small subunit ribosomal RNA", at positions 29 to 507 of the family's 1533-position model. The record is from RNAcentral.
AGUGAACGCUGGCGGUAGGCCUAACACAUGCAAGUCGAACGGCAGCACAGUAAGAGCUUGCUCUUACGGGUGACGAGUGGCGGACGGGUGAGGAAUACAUCGGAAUCUACUUUUUCGUGGGGGAUAACGUAGGGAAACUUACGCUAGUACCGCAUACGACCUACGGGUGAAAGCAGGGGAUCUUCGGACCUUGCGCGAUUGAAUGAGCCGAUGUCGGAUUAGCUAGUUGGCGGGGUAAAGGCCCACCAAGGCGACGAUCCGUAGCUGGUCUGAGAGGAUGAUCAGCCACACUGGAACUGAGACACGGUCCAGACUCCUACGGGAGGCAGCAGUGGGGAAUAUUGGACAAUGGGCGCAAGCCUGAUCCAGCCAUACCGCGUGGGUGAAGAAGGCCUUCGGGUUGUAAAGCCCUUUUGUUGGGAAAGAAAAGCAGCAGGUUAAUACCCCGCUGUUCUGACGGUACCCAAAGAAUAAGCACCGGCUAACUUCGUG